Molecule: small nuclear RNA, 286 nt
Filed under: Jaculus jaculus (lesser Egyptian jerboa)
Lineage: Eukaryota; Metazoa; Chordata; Mammalia; Rodentia; Dipodidae
Description: 7SK RNA (ENSJJAG00000008414.1)
Rfam family: 7SK RNA
About the family: 7SK was discovered as an abundant small nuclear RNA in the mid-70s but a possible function has only recently been suggested. Two independent studies have found that 7SK RNA binds the CDK9/cyclin T complex (known as elongation factor P-TEFb).
Source: Rfam by way of RNAcentral
GGAUGUAAGGGAGCUCUGGCUGUGACAUCUGUCACCCAGUGGUUGCCAGGGUUGAUUCUGCUGAUCUGUCUGGCUAGGCUCGUGUCCGCUUCCUCCCUCACCGCUCCGUGCGUCCCUCCCAAAGCCGCAUGCUCAGUUGAAGAGGAUAACCUUCCCCGAAUAGAGGAGGACCGGUCUGUAGUCAAGCGUGCAUGCGUAGCCGCGCUCCCCUGCUAGAACCUCCAAACAAGCUCUCAAGACAGCCGAAAGAUGAAAUGAGUCUGAGUCAAGGAUGUGCCAUUGCCUU